AAUGCAGAGGUGGGGGACAGAGUGGGUGGGGAGGGGAGCCGCCAUACAGUGGCCAGGACCAGCUUUGCCCAAGUGGUGGCAACCGCAUGACCACAGGAACGAUGGCGUGAGCCCCGUGGCAACCUGGAGGAAGGGCCAAGCCACUGGUGAAUAUGCUGCAAAAAAUAUGCUGGAACUUCUAUGAAUACCACAGGGUGUGAGAAGAAAACAUUAGAACUUCUAUUUUGUACCUGUGUUACUCCACAACAAGAAAGCAAUCAGCUUGAUCAAUGCCUACUGUAAAGACGGCACCGCCCUCCGGAGGUCCUUUCUCAGCCCUGGUGUUCGGACAGCCACAUCCCCUCGCAGCAGGGGGAGGCCUGAAGCAUAGAGGGGCCCAUGCAGGUCUAUUCUGUUUCAGCGAAUUGCCUGGGAAAUAAUCCAGGAUCCAUUUCGUGUGGUCAUCUUGUCUCCCUGGUCCCCUCCAGCCUUUCCUCAUCUUUUGUGACCUGGUCACUCUGGAAGGGCGCUGGCCAGUUAGUCCACAGGAUGGGCCUCCCCUGGGGCUUUUCUGAUGCUUCCUUAUGAUGGCACUGGCAUCCUGAGGGGGAGGACCACAGAGAGGAGGUGCUCCUCAUCACACCACAUGGGGGUCCAUGCACCAGUGCCACUGCUUUCCAGGGCUCUUCACCUUCAUCACUGGUGGAGGUGGCGUCUGCCAAGAAGCAGAAAGUUGAGGCUUAGAAGGUGCACGGCCCUACCUCUUCCGAGGUGCCCCUGCGGGCUGUCUACAGACCAGGCAGCACAUGCCUGAUAGCAGCUGCAUAAGGAAAAGCAGGAGCCAGCUCGUGCACAGUGGCCUCAAGUGUGCACUGGGCAUGUUCUCUGCCUCACCAUCCCUGUGUGACAGAUGAAGAUGCUUCAGUUGCCCACCAGGAGCCAAUUCAUGUUCCCUUGCAGGGAAAUGGACAAGGGACCUGCUGCUGGCUUAUACGAGGAAAGGCCGUCUCACCUGGGGGCUUUGGGGAAAAGUUUGCUUUCAGAUGGAGAAAGAGAUGGAGCCUCUCAAGGAGAAAGCAUUUCCCUCUGGUGCUUCCCUUCUUUGUGCCUGCAGCUUCAAGGACCACAGAGGGCCAAGUGCAGGAGUAAGAGGCUGGCGUGCUGACAGUGGCCAAGGGCAUUGGAGGGAAGGACCUGUCAUCACUGGGCCAAGGAAGGAACUCCAGACUGCCUACUUCCAGAGGGCCUGCUGAGGAAUUUUAGCUUGAACUUGCCUGCCUUGACUAGGGCUUUCUGAGCAGCAGAUGAUUCUGCAAUGGUGUUAGUCCAGGCCUGGUUCUGCAUGACAUUGACCAUACUGUGCACCCUGGGGUCAUUAUGUCUUGGGCUUCAAGGGGCUCCAUGGGCUCCAGGGGGCUCCAUGUGACACUGCACAGAGCUCUCUCUAGGUCACCUGGAUGUGUCUCUUCCUAGGAACCCCAAAGAGCUCUCUCAACAAACACACCCACGAGUUCCAGGAGUGAGGCUGCAGGGAACAGCCUCACUCUCAGAGGGGAUACAGAAUUGUUCCACUGGACAAGGGCUGGGAUCGUCAUAGGAUGCCGUUGGCCUGUGGUUUCCAACAGAGGUGCAGUUCAUUGAACUGUGGUCUACAGUCCAUUCUCUAACUUGGGGACCCUUGAAGAAGUGUGGAAUCAUGACAACAACCCUGUUGGGAGACACUAUUAUUCCCAUCACAUGGAUGAGCACACGGAGGCAAAAGGAAGUUAUAUGAUUGUCUGAGAUCACCCAGUGAAGACUGUGUGGCUGGGAGUUGUCCCCAGUGUUAUCUGCACGCUGCUUCCUUUUGAUGCCUGGCCCUUCUUUAUCAAAAGAAGCAUUGGCAGAAUCUGGGUGUUUAUGGGUCAGCUCAAAAUAAAUUACUUUAUAUGUC
Long non-coding RNA from Homo sapiens (human), 1912 nucleotides. Ensembl annotates it as long intergenic non-protein coding RNA 1471. The record is from Ensembl. Lineage: Eukaryota; Metazoa; Chordata; Mammalia; Primates; Hominidae.